GCCACGAUACAGGGUGAUAGUCCCGUACAUGAAAAGACAUUUUAAGUGAAAUCGAGUAGGUCGGAGCACGUGAAACUUUGACUGAAUAUAGGUGGACCAUCAUCUAAGGCUAAAUACUCCCAACUGACCGAUAGUGAACCAGUACCGUGAGGGAAAGGCGAAAAGAACCCCUGUGAGGGGAGUGAAAUAGAACCUGAAACCGUGUACGUACAAGCAGUAGGAGCCCACUUGUUGGGUGACUGCGUACCUUUUGUAUAAUGGGUCAGCGACUUAUAUUUUGUAGCGAGGUUAACCGAAUAGGGUAGCCGUAGGGAAACCGAGUCUUAACUGGGCGAAUAGUUGCAAGGUAUAGACCCGAAACCCGGUGAUCUAGCCAUGGGCAGGUUGAAGGUUGAGUAACAUCAACUGGAGGACCGAACCCACUAACGUUGAAAAGUUAGGGGAUGACCUGUGGCUAGGAGUGAAAGGCUAAUCAAACCGGGAGAUAGCUGGUUCUCCCCGAAAUCUAUUUAGGUAGAGCCUCGGACGAAUACUUACGGGGGUAGAGCACUGUUAAGGCUAGGGGGUCAUCCCGACUUACCAACCCUUUGCAAACUCCGAAUACCGUAAAGUAAUAUCCGGGAGACACACGGCGGGUGCUAACGUCCGUCGUGAAGAGGGAAACAACCCAGACCGCCAGCUAAGGUCCCAAAGUCAUAGUUAAGUGGGAAACGAUGUGGAAAGGCCCAGACAGCCAGGAGGUUGGCUUAGAAGCAGCCAUCCUUUAAAGAAAGCGUAAUAGCUCACUGGUCGAGUCGGUCUGCGCGGAAGAUGUAACGGGGCUAAACUAUGCACCGAAGCUGCGGAUUCAUCUUAGGAUGAGUGGUAGGGGAGCGUUCUGUAAGCCGUUGAAGGUGUACCGGGAGGUAUGCUGGAGGUAUCAGAAGUGCGAAUGCUGACAUGAGUAACGAUAAUGGGAGUGAAAAACUCCCACGCCGGAANGAAUUUAUUCUGAGUGGUAGGGGAGCGUUCUGUAAGCCGUUGAAGGUGUACCGGGAGGUAUGCUGGAGGUAUCAGAAGUGCGAAUGCUGACAUGAGUAACGAUAAUGGGAGUGAAAAACUCCCACGCCGGAAGACCAAGGGUUCCUAUCCCAUGUUAAUCAGGGUAGGGUAAGUCGACCCCUAAGGCGAGGCCGAAAGGCGUAGUCGAUGGGAAACAGAUUAAUAUUUCUGUACUCGAUAUAAUUGCGAUGGGGGGACGGAGCAGGCUAAGCAAGCAUAGCGUUGGUAGUCUAUGUGAAAGUGAGUAGGGCGUUUGUUUAGGUAAAUCCGGACAAACACUAAACCUGAGACACGAGACGAGUCACUACGGUGAUGAAGUUGCUGAUGCCAUACUUCCAGGAAAAGCCUCUAAGCUUCAGAUUAUAUGGAAUCGUACCCCAAACCGACACAGGUGGUCAGGUAGAGAAUACUAAGGCGCUUGAGAGAACUCGGGUGAAGGAACUAGGCAAAAUCGUACCGUAACUUCGGGAGAAGGUACGCUCCUAUCUGUGAUGAGACUUGCUCUCUAAGCGGACGGGAGCCGCAGUGACCAGGUGGCUGGGACUGUUUAUUAAAAACACAGCACUGUGCAAAAUCGCAAGAUGACGUAUACGGUGUGACACCUGCCCGGUGCCGGAAGGUUAAUUGAUGGGGUUAUCCUUAGGGAGAAGCUCUUGAUCGAAGCCCCGGUAAACGGCGGCCGUAACUAUAACGGUCCUAAGGUAGCGAAAUUCCUUGUCGGGUAAGUUCCGACCUGCACGAAUGGUGUAACCAUGGCCACGCUGUCUCCACCCGAGACUCAGUGAAAUUGAAAUCGCAGUGAAGAUGCUGUGUACCCGCGGCUAGACGGAAAGACCCCGUGAACCUUUACUACAGCUUGGCACUGAACAUUGAACCUACAUGUGUAGGAUAGGUGGGAGACUUUGAAGCA
This 1951-nucleotide ribosomal RNA is filed under the name Pseudoalteromonas sp. NGC95. RNAcentral describes it as "partial 23S ribosomal RNA". It matches the Rfam family "Bacterial large subunit ribosomal RNA", at positions 351 to 2164 of the family's 2925-position model. The record is from RNAcentral. Lineage: Bacteria; Pseudomonadati; Pseudomonadota; Gammaproteobacteria; Alteromonadales; Pseudoalteromonadaceae.